Long non-coding RNA from Lutra lutra (Eurasian river otter), 139 nucleotides. RefSeq lists it as uncharacterized. The record is from RefSeq and is a predicted model, not a curated record. NCBI's taxonomy places the organism in Eukaryota, Metazoa, Chordata, Mammalia, Carnivora, Mustelidae. The transcript has 3 exons.
UAGAGCAAAGGCCAUGUUGGUUGGGCCUGGCCACACACAGGUGGCAAAUGAGAUUGUAACACAGAGAAAGGUGCACAAUCAUGCUAGGUCACACGUAAGUGACCAACUGAAUUACAAUUUACCCUAGUAGAUCAUGUGC